AUGGGGUGGACCGACGGCGGCGCCGACAGGAGGAGAAGAGCUUUUAUUCAUGAUUGGAAUCUCACACUUGGGCGGCCGCUCCAUCUCCCGCCCUGCGGUCGCCGCCGCAAGAUCUUGGACGGGCCCCAAGAUCUUCAACGGCGCAGCCGGCCCGCGCCGCCCGGUGGCCCUCUAUCUCCGUCGCAGAAUCUUCUGACGGCGCCCGACAUCGGUUCCUCCGCGCGUCGUGAUCCCUCACAUAGGUACGUUGCCUCCGGUUCUCCCCAAACACCACAGCUGGCGCACAUGGAUGCUGGCUGUGCACGCAAUACCAAUUCAAAAACAGCUGCUGGGUUUUCUGUGCGUGUGGAUGCUGAAUUAGUAGAUAUCGGCAUGGCUGGUGAAGGCAUCUUGAUAGAUGAAUUUAUGGAGUACGGCUCGAUGGUCAGGCAGACAUUUAAAAGUGAGAACGAAGCAUACAAGUUCUACUUAGCGUAUGCGAAGAGCAAAGGGUUUGGUGUUAGAAAGGGCGAUCUGAAAUAUAAGGGAAACAAGGAAAAUGCAUACCGGAGGACGUUUGUGUGCUGCAAACAAGGAUAUCGUGACGUAAAGCACUUUGAUGAAACCGACAAGAAAAGGACGCCAAGGGCACUCUCUCGCCAUCCAUUCAUAAAUCCUGAGUUGUCACCUUUCCUAUGGUCUCAUCGUGGCCUGAACGACCCACAGAAAGCGGAUGUCAUUGAGUACUCGGUUGGUGGACUUCGCACACAUCAUAUAAUGGAUGUGAUGGAGAAGCAGGCUGGUGGUUUCGGCAAGGCUGGAUUUAUAUCUCGCGAUCUAUAUAAUCAUGUCGCAUUGGAGAAGAAGAAAAAGAUAGAAGUAAGGAAGAUGGAAAGCGAGGAUUUUCCAUGUGCUCAUAUAUUUUGCGUUCUGAAGUACAAUGGGAUAUGCACCAUCCCCGCAUGUUGUGUGAAGGCUAGAUGGACAAUGCAAGCCAAGCCUGCUUUCGGUUCUGUGAGGAGUGCCAAUACACAUGUGAUGGAGUACCUGAGGAGCAUAUUCGACGAGGGCAACAGAAAUGAUGUGAAUACUGGCACAUCAUCAUUUGUUCCUAUGCCGGCGUAUUUUUCUAGGGCGCGGCAAUGGUUUACAGAUCAAGUUCAAGACCCUAAACCAAUAAUAAAUCCCAAAGGCAGACCAGCCAAAGAAUCGAAUAAGAGGUUGAAGCCAUUCCUGGAGAAUUUGAAAGCAAAAAAGAAAACAUUGAAGAAAGCUUCAGCAAAGGUGACUGAAGUUAUUAUGAUGACUCGGGGGAGAAAGAGAAAAGAGAACAAUGACGAAGUGUGUGCUAAGAACAAAAGACCUUUCAAGAAAACGGCUGGAAAGUCUAAGUAG
RNAcentral lists this ribosomal RNA (1374 nucleotides) under Triticum aestivum (bread wheat). Its description in RNAcentral is "partial small subunit ribosomal RNA". Lineage: Eukaryota; Viridiplantae; Streptophyta; Magnoliopsida; Poales; Poaceae. The record is from RNAcentral.